This 64-nucleotide transfer RNA is filed under the name Kneria sp. SL-2004. RNAcentral's name for it is "tRNA-Cys". It matches the Rfam family "tRNA". From Rfam's summary of the family: Transfer RNA (tRNA) molecules are approximately 80 nucleotides in length. Their secondary structure includes four short double-helical elements and three loops (D, anti-codon, and T loops). Lineage: Eukaryota; Metazoa; Chordata; Actinopteri; Gonorynchiformes; Kneriidae. The record is from RNAcentral.
AGCCUUGUGGUGAAGACACGUCGGAUUGCAAAUCCGAAGACGCAGGGUAACGCCUGCCGAGGCU